AAAGAGCGAUGAUGAGAGGCGUCGUGAAUGCGAAGCAUUCACCGGGGCAAACGGGUGAGUAACGCGUAGACAACCUGCCGUAAAAUGGGGACAACAGUUCGAAAGGACUGCUAGUACCGAAUGCUUUACGAUGGGUCUGCGUCUGAUUAGCUAGUUGGUGGGGUAACAGCCUACCAAGGCGACGAUCAGUAGCCGGUCUGAGAGGAUGAACGGCCACAUUGGAACUGAGACACGGUCCAGACUCCUACGGGAGGCAGCAGUGGGGAAUCUUCCGCAAUGGGCGCAAGCCUGACGGAGCAACGCCGCGUGAGUGAAGAAGGGUUUCGACUCGUAAAGCUCUGUUGUCGGGGACGCGGUACCUGACGAGGAAGCCACGGCUAACUACGUGCCAGCAGCCGCGGUAAUACGUAGGUGGCGAGCGUUGUCCGGAAUUAUUGGGCGUAAAGGGAGCGCAGGCGGGAAGGUAAGUCUACCUUAAAAGUGCGGGGCUCAACCCCGUGAGGGGAUGGAAACUAUCUUUCUUGAGUGCAGGAGAGGAAAGCGGAAUUCCUAGUGUAGCGGUGAAAUGCGUAGAUAUUAGGAGGAACACCAGUGGCGAAGGCGGCUUUCUGGACUGUACUGACGCUGAGGCUCGAAAGCGUGGGGAGCGAACAGGAUUAGAUACCCUGGUAGUCCACGCCGUAAACGAUGAAUGCUAGGUGUAGGA
This 706-nucleotide ribosomal RNA is filed under the name uncultured bacterium. RNAcentral's name for it is "bacterial SSU rRNA". It matches the Rfam family "Bacterial small subunit ribosomal RNA", at positions 71 to 827 of the family's 1533-position model. The record is from RNAcentral.